CAGCCGCCGCGGUAAUACGUAGGGUGCGAGCGUUAAUCGGAUUUACUGGGCGUAAAGCGUGCGCAGGCGGCCCGUUAAGACAGGUGUGAAAUCCCUGGGCUCAACCUAGGAAUUGCGCUUGUGACUGGCGGGCUCGAGUACGGUAGAGGGGGGUGGAAUUCCUGGUGUAGCAGUGAAAUGCGUAGAGAUCCGGAGGAACACCGAUGGCGAAGGCAGCCCCCUGGGCCUGUACUGACGCUCAUGCACGAAAGCGUGGGGAGCAAACAGGAUUAGAUACCCUGGUAGUCCACGCCCUAAACGAUGGGUACUAGCCGUUUGGUGCGCGAUAGCGCUGAGUGGCGAAGCUAACGCGUGAAGUACCCCGCCUGGGGAGUACGGCCGCAAGGUUGAAACUUAAAGGAAUUGGCGGG
Molecule: ribosomal RNA, 410 nt
Filed under: uncultured microorganism
Description: bacterial SSU rRNA
Rfam family: Bacterial small subunit ribosomal RNA
Source: RNAcentral